UUCGUAGGCGGUGUGGCAAGUCGGGAGUGAAAUCUCUGGGCUCAACCCAGAGACUGCUUCCGAAACUGCUGUGCUUGAGUGUGAGAGAGGCUCGUGGAAUUGCAGGUGUAGCGGUGAAAUGCGUAGAUAUCUGCAGGAACACCCGUGCGAAAGCGGCGAGCUGGAUCACUACUGACGCUGAGGAACGAAAGCUAGGGGAGCAAACAGGAUUAGAUACCCUGGUAGUCCUAGCCCUAAACGAUCAGGACUUGGGGUGCCGCCCGUUCGGGCGUCGUCCCGGAGCUAACGCGUUAAGUCCUGCACCUGGGGAGUACGGUCGCAAGACUGAA
Molecule: ribosomal RNA, 329 nt
Filed under: uncultured bacterium
Lineage: Bacteria
Description: bacterial SSU rRNA
Rfam family: Bacterial small subunit ribosomal RNA
Source: RNAcentral